This 429-nucleotide ribosomal RNA is filed under the name Chloroflexota bacterium. RNAcentral's name for it is "Chloroflexi bacterium partial 16S ribosomal RNA". It matches the Rfam family "Bacterial small subunit ribosomal RNA", at positions 355 to 776 of the family's 1533-position model. Lineage: Bacteria; Bacillati; Chloroflexota. The record is from RNAcentral.
UGGGGAAUAUUGCACAAUGGGCGCAAGCCUGAUGCAGCCAUGCCGCGUGUGUGAAGAAGGCCUUCGGUUUGUAAAGCACUUUCAGCGGGGAGGAAGGCGUUAAGGUUAAUAACCUUGGCGAUUGACGUUACCCGCAGAAGAAGCACCGGCUAACUCCGUGCCAGCAGCCGCGGUAAUACGGAGGGUGCAAGCGUUAAUCGGAAUUACUGGGCGUAAAGCGCACGCAGGCGGUCUGUCAAGUCGGAUGUGAAAUCCCCGGGCUCAACCUGGGAACUGCAUUCGAAACUGGCAGGCUAGAGUCUUGUAGAGGGGGGUAGAAUUCCAGGUGUAGCGGUGAAAUGCGUAGAGAUCUGGAGGAAUACCGGUGGCGAAGGCGGCCCCCUGGACAAAGACUGACGCUCAGGUGCGAAAGCGUGGGGAGCAAACAGG